RNAcentral lists this ribosomal RNA (492 nucleotides) under uncultured bacterium. RNAcentral's name for it is "partial 16S ribosomal RNA". It matches the Rfam family "Bacterial small subunit ribosomal RNA", at positions 29 to 507 of the family's 1533-position model. The record is from RNAcentral.
AGUGAACGCUGGCGGUAGGCCUAACACAUGCAAGUCGAACGGCAGCACAGUAAGAGCUUGCUCUUACGGGUGGCGGGUGGCGGACGGGUGAGGAAUACAUCGGAAUCUACUUUUUCGUGGGGGAUAACGUAGGGAAACUUACGCUAAUACCGCAUACGACCUACGGGUGAAAGCAGGGGAUCUUCGGACCUUGCGCGAUUGAAUGAGCCGAUGUCGGAUUAGCUAGUGGGCGGGGUAAAGGCCCAGCAAGGCUACGAUCCGUAGCUGGUCUGAGAGGAUGAUCAGCCACACUGUAACUGAGACACGGUCCAGACUCCUACGGUAGGCAGCAGUGGGGAAUAUUGCACAAUGGGCGCAAGCCUGAUCCAGCCAUACCGCGUGGGUGAAGAAGGCCUUCGGGUUGUAAAGCCCUUUUGUUGUGAAAGAAAAGCAGCAGGUUAAUACCCCGCUGUUCUGACGGUACCCAAAGAAUAAGCACCGGCUAACUUCGUG